AAUUUUUAUGCGUCCGGUGGGCAACGGCUGGAGAUGCGAAGGCAUCGCGCCCCGAGGAGGGGGGCUGAGACGAUGCCCAUAUCCGAGCUGACUGGCGGAUUUCUGCUGGUCUUCUUGCUUCUGCGGGACUGAUAUUGGGUCCAUCUUUCAUCAAUGGCGGUAGGCUCCGAAGAAGGCGGCGGAGAGGGCACAACCACGAUCGACCAAAGCCGGUGUUGCUUAAGCGGGGGUGGCAGACCCAGAUCCAGUGGUCCGGGCGAGGACCAGCCCUCGAGGUCAGCACCCCGCUGCAGGAUUUGCGGGGGCGUCCCCCACUCCACUCUAGCGCUGCCGGGGAGCGGGGGGAGGUAGGCGCGUCGGACGAACCAGGGGAUCCAGAUCUCCCCCCGGGCCUGGUGCAUUGGAGGUUGGCCGGUGGGGAGGCGGGAUCUCGGGGAGACGUUGGAGCCGGCAUGGGCGGCCGCGACAUCCCAGACGAGGUGGCGGCUCGGAGGGAGGUGGCCGCCGCCGCAGACCAGGGCUUUACUUCGUGUACAGCGCCGGCCAGGGGAAUCCGCUGCUCGAGGUGCUGCCGCCAUCGGAUUCCUUCAAUCCCAUUGAUCUGCUGAACCAGAGGGCUAUGGCUAUGUGGUGGCCAGCAUCAGCCGCGUCAUAACCGAUGGCAUUCUGAAGUAUCAGCUCCUUCGCUACUCGUCCAAGACCAAGGCUUGGAGCACCAAGUUGGCUCCUAUGGAAUGCGACUGCGAAGACGAUGACCUAACUAAUCUGCUGAACCAUAGGACAGACAAGGUAAUCGCGGUGGGAAGCUCGUUGGGCUGGGUUGAUCUUUGGUGGGGUAUUCUGGUGUGCGAUGUGCUCAACGAGGAGGAUCCUUUGAUUCGUUUCAUUGAUCUGCCUGGUCCAAUGCCCAGCAACGAGCAUUGGUUCGGAACAUCGUCCGCUGGGGCAUGCCGAGACGUCAUCUGCAACGGAGAUUUAAUCAAGUUUGUUGAAGUUGAGUACCAUCGAGGUGACUAUGCUGAAGGCUCAGAUGAUAGUGCCAUUGAUUAUGGUUGGAAGGCCACAGCAUGGCAUAAGAUUCUUUCAUCACACAAUUUUGCUGAUUGGCAGCACAGCUUCACUGUAGACACUUAUGACAUUACAGUAACGGACGAUGAGAGAUGCUCUUACUUGUUGCCUGAACUGUGAACUGACAAUGCCAAGAAGCUAUCCCUGGACAAGUUUAUGUGCUCUCUUUCCAACCUGAGCCUGGACGAUGAUGUAUUUUACAUGAAGUCCACCCCGAAUCCUGCAAGCCCAGUGGCGUGGCUAGCUGCCGUAAAUGUCAGAGAGAAUCUACUACAACUUAUCCCUUUUACUGCUGAAAUUUCUCACUGCGAGCCAACCUAUCCUCCUUGUGUUUUCUCCAAGUACCUCAAUAAUACUCCAGGACAACACAUGGCUGUGGAGGAUCCGGGGAGGUAAUUUAUAUAUUUCUAGAUUACAGAACAAUCACUGUUUGAUAUUUGCUUUCUUCGGGUAUCAGCUGGCACAUUCCGAUGCAGGAUCGCUAAUCGGGUCACUAUUUUUUUUUACCGUUGUAUAGGUUGCUUAAUCCCACAAAAGGGCACCCACCAUCAGAGCUAUCGCCUCUAAGUGUUGAGAAAUGGCUUAAAGAACAUGGUCAUUGAUGAGUUUAAUUCCGGGGAUCCUAUCUGCAGUCCUGCACGGUAGCCUUAGUUCUAAUAUUAGCACAUAGAGACCCAUGUGCAAGCGACACUAAUCAGUUUUAUGAUCUUUCAGAAAGUCUCUAUCCCAAACAGGAGUGUUUGCCAUUGGAUCAUGGCCUGACCACUCGCGCAAUUAACACAAUUAUUAUACACAUUUACCUGUGAAAAUUCACAUUUUAGCAUGAUGUGAUUCAUGUUGCAUAACCUGUAUCUGCGAAGUUAGAAAUUUAUACUACAUGUUUUAUUUAUUUGCGAGGAAUACUGCAUGACUUAUUGCAGAGGGCUAUACACUACCACUUGAGAGGCCAAAAUUCUUGGAUUGCUCCUCUGUCAUGACAACUUAAACAUAUUCAAGAUGUAAGUUCCGUUGGACACAUUUUAACGUUUGAGCAAUAUUAUAGUGCCAAUUCAUAAUUUUUGCUUCAUGUCCAAGUGUCCAACAACACAAGACAUGUGGACACACUCAUAGCUCAGGUCGGUGCAUGUACUUGGAAUGGUGACUGGCUUGCUUAGGGCUGAUAAAACGCUACUCUGUGACUUGGUUGUUAUAAAGAUCGGUCUCGGGCUGAUCCAGACCCAUGCUGCGAGACAUAGUCGAGCAAGAAGGGAUUUGCCCCUCCGACUUGAAGAGAUGUCCUCUAGGCCCCUCAUGUGAUCCGACUUGAAUAAAGCAUGGCCAUGCGACAAAGAUCAUGAGAUAAUCCAGUUUUGGAAAUCAACAUCAUAGGGCCAGAAAGAGGCCGAUUGGAACAAGGAUGACUGAAUUGCCUUAAUCCUGGUAACACACAUCGUGAGGCAAAAGGAAAGGAAGUUGACACAUUGUACAUGUUCGUCAAACCGGCUUUCAUCUUAAACUUGGGAAUCAACAUGUUUUGCUACGAGCCGCUAUUGACUAGUCAAAUCGGAUUGAUAUCCGACUUGCGACCAAGUGUAAGUGAACCUAAGGGAUCGCGGGCUUAAGGAAGGAACCUAUGCGGCCAGAUCCGAUUUCACUGGUCAGAUGUGAUUUACUAGGACUUGGAUAUGGGUUGGGUAGAUUUUGGGCUUAUGUAGUUCUAGUGGGCUUCAUGUGUUGAGCCCAAAACAGACCUCUAUAUAAGUAGAGGUGGUGCAAGAGGGACAACGCUCUCGAAAGUGUGAUCAGUGUGUUGCAUAGGAUAGGUUUAGCCACCUCUAUGCCUAGGCUUUUUUAUUGACCUAGUAGUAAGCCGUCUGGCGUUCCUCUUGCACACGACGGACCUGUUAGUAGGAUUCGGCUAGGGAGAUCGGCCACGUGGAGAUGACGCCGGUGGCACGCUUCCCUAGCUCUUCUUCUGCUGUGAGAAUAAUAAAUGACAGGAGCCCAAAAACACCCGCCACCGAUUGAUUUUGAUAGCAGUAGCAGACCCGCAUUUAGGCCUGUAAGUGAUUGGGCCGGGCCCGCACCUUCAAACAGCCGACGUGAUGAGGGGUAGGCGUGGUCAUGGCGGCUGGAGCAAUGCUUGCAGCAUUGGGAGCCAAAGCCAUGGCAAUGCAGUCCCCAACAUCAGACUAGACAUGCCAAGAUCCACUGGGGACGGAAAGGGGUCUUACGGAGGGGGACGGGAGGGGGUGGCACAGAUGUACGUACCCGACGCGUUGGAGGAGGCGGCGGCGUGUCGAAGAGCUGUGUCGCUUCGUUUCGUUUCGUGAGGGCAGCGACAUGUUUUCUGAACUGCGUGGCUUGGGAGAGUUUUGGUGGGGAUCGAAGAGCUUCUCCCGGACAAAACCUGCAUGCCAAACGGGCCGUCGGGGAUUUUUGAGAGUUUCAAGGUUUUGUCCCCUUGAGGGUCAUCCUCUCAAAGCCCCUCCAAAACCUCUACCGAACGUGGCAUGCAGGGAUUAGGUCCACUAGGGGAUCUGAUCCUCUGUAACCGUACAUAGCCUUAAAUUCUUGUGUUCUUCAUAUAGAAAAAAAUGUACUAUUGCUCGUACGUAAAAGACAUGCCAUCUAUGCCGUGUCUAUUUAAUUUAUGUGCAAGUGCCUAACUGUUCUUUGAAGGUUGAUGAUAACUUCAAGGUUGUAAAGGUAAAGCUGAGCAAGGAAGAUCUAAUAGAAAUCUCGGCUGCUGUCCCUGCUGGCGACGUGGCUGGGUCGAGGGUCAUGGGAAUCUUGGAGCCUUAUUCUUGGAGGAUUGCAAACACUCCACCUCAAAAGUAGCCAUUUUACAUCAUCACUUGCAAAUCCGAGAGCAUCUCACCGUGUUAUGCUGCAUUUGUUUCGACCUUUCCGGUUACAUACAUUUGAGGGGGGAAAUGUGAAAGAAACAAGCUCGUCCAUACUCAAGAACAGGGGAACUUAGUACCUAAACAUACUCAUAGUUCUCUGUCGACGUAUCAAUUACUACACAUGAUAAAAAAAAGAGUUGAAUUCAAGUUGAGGUUUGCUGGGUAUCAUUCAUUCAAAAAUGGUACUGCUGUAAUAUUUCCACACAUGAUUGAAUGAGAUUACUGACAGAAUCGACAUGCAACUUCCUGUAGUCACACCAAAGUCUGGAUAUGUAUGUUCAACCUCACUAGUAGUGCCACUAAAAAUAUUUUACUGCAUGUGCUACUUUUGGCUCCUCAGGUUUCUAGUUCUUUUUACCACGCACCCUUGUGCUACCCUGUUACUUUCCAUUUACUGUUCAUCUGUUGCUACUUCGUUACUUUCCAUUUACUGUUCAUAUAUAUCCCCAGCUGGUUUCUAAUUCAUAUCUGCCACGAUAUCUUUUACAGGUUAACCUGUGCUGAUCUGCAACUGCUGAACUUUACAGGCAUGCAAGCAACGUAGAACGACAAAUUGCAAUGGACAAGUAGGGCUGCACGGGCGCCCAUGGUGUCCCUUUCAGGAGGAACCUUGGGGGUAGCUGACCAAUUCCUAAUGGAUCUCAAGGCUUGCUGUUGCUCGUGCACGCACUUCCGAGCAUCGUUGGGGAUCGUGCUCAGCAGCGGCCGGGCCGGCGAUGAUGCACUGGGGAUGUGUGCCCACCAAGAACAUAUGUGCCCUCCUCCCACAUGUUUGAGGGAGCCUUUGGGUUCCUGGACCGCCUCCCCAAAUCCUGAUGUUGCUGCUGAAAUCCCUGGACCAAAACCUUGAUGCACUUGAAAGCAAGGCAUCCGCCGCCCACGCAGUACUGAAGCAGUCCAUGAUUAUUUGAUGAUUGAUUGGUUGCCUGUGCUUAUGCUGUUCUCUGAUUAAACUAUGAAUCUGCAAUGCAAAAUGGCUCUGCAACAUGGUACAGUACCACUCUUUGGCGCUUCGCAUCUGCUGAUACAUUUGCAGGAAAGCUGUUGUUUAUCUGGAACCGGCUCCUCUACCGUGCCCUAUGAUAUCAUCACUGUUGCCAGGAGCCAGCUCUUGGACUCUUCUGAGGCAUGCAGAACGAACCGUCUGGCCAGAAGAAGAUGAAGACAUUGUUUACUAAUUGCACUGGGAGUAAAAACGAGAAGAUGUGAUGAGGGCGACAGUGCCAGUGUGGGACACAUGAAGAUGAUGCUUGUCAACGCACGGCAAUAAAGAAGCUCAUCUGGUCUUUUUCAUUCUUUCUCAAACUAUGUGCUCGAUCAAUUCCAGGGAUUGCACAUGCAUGCAUAUCGCCGGCCAGCCAGCCAGCCAUGGUCCCAGGGAUCAGGCUCGGACUCCCAUAUGGCCAUAUGCUUGAGCUAGCAUGACACUAUCUCAGAUGAAUGAUGAUCAUCAUUGUGCAUGCAUGCAUGCAUGCAUGCAUGCAAGCAGAUGCAGCGAAUACAUGCAUGCACUCUUCUUACCACAUCCAACCAGAGUGCUCCCACCCCGACCCAUCUUCUCCUCUCCCUUGUUGACUAGAACUACCAUUGGAUUUGGUGUUGGAAUAGAACACAUGUUCAGUCAAAGUAUAAAAAAUAUAUCCGCAAAAAAGUAUAUAAAAUGUAAAGACACCACAAGGUAACAAAAUUAAACUAGACGAAGCUGAUAGCAUAGACAUGGGAUCAUGAGAUGUGGUUAGAGUGGCUGUUAGUGAUUGUUCACCAUGGCGGGGUCUUUUUUCUUUAUUAUGUUUUUUAUUUUCUUUUUUGGCCAUGUGUAUCCUUGAUGCUUUUGGACAUUUUGUUGGUACAGAGCGCGGAUGUAAUUGGUAUCUUCGUGAUAUUAAUAUAUUUCC
Long non-coding RNA from Triticum aestivum (bread wheat), 5851 nucleotides. RefSeq lists it as uncharacterized. The transcript is spliced from 3 exons. Lineage: Eukaryota; Viridiplantae; Streptophyta; Magnoliopsida; Poales; Poaceae. The record is from RefSeq and is a predicted model, not a curated record.